RNAcentral lists this ribosomal RNA (378 nucleotides) under uncultured bacterium. RNAcentral's name for it is "bacterial SSU rRNA". It matches the Rfam family "Bacterial small subunit ribosomal RNA", at positions 362 to 758 of the family's 1533-position model. The record is from RNAcentral.
UCUGGGUUGGGCGCAAGCCUGACUAGCCUGCCGCGUGGAGGGGAUGAAGGCCUUAGGGUGUGGUAAAGCUCUUUCAGGGGGGAAGAUAAUGACUGUACCCCCAGAAGAAGCCCCGGCUAACUCCGUGCCAGCAGCCGCGGUAAUACGGAGGGGGCUAGCGUUGUUCGGAAUUACUGGGCGUAAAGCGCACGUAGGCGGACGGAGAAGUCAGAGGUGAAAUCCCAGGGCUCAACCUUGGAACUGCCUUUGAAACUUUCUGUCUUGAGGUCGAGAGAGGUGAGUGGAAUUCCGAGUGUAGAGGUGAAAUUCGUAGAUAUUCGGAGGAACACCAGUGGCGAAGGCGGCUCACUGGCUCGAUACUGACGCUGAGGUGCGAAA